Molecule: transfer RNA, 85 nt
Filed under: Felis catus (domestic cat)
Lineage: Eukaryota; Metazoa; Chordata; Mammalia; Carnivora; Felidae
Also listed under: 4 other names
Rfam family: tRNA
About the family: Transfer RNA (tRNA) molecules are approximately 80 nucleotides in length.
Source: Rfam by way of RNAcentral
UCCUGGGUGGCUUAGUGGGUUAAGUGUUUGACUUUGGCUCAGGUCAUGAUCUUGCAUUUUGUGAGUUUGAGCCUCACCUCAGGCU